GACGAACGCUGGCGGCGUGCUUAACACAUGCAAGUCGAACGGUGAAGCGAGUGCUUGCACUCGGGGAUCAGUGGCGAACGGGUGAGUAACACGUGAGUAACCUGCCCAUCACUCUGGGAUAAGCACUGGAAACGGUGUCUAAUACUGGAUACGACCAACCCUUGCAUGGGGUGUUGGUGGAAAGAUUUAUCGGUGAUGGAUGGACUCGCGGCCUAUCAGCUUGUUGGCGGGGCAAUGGCCCACCAAGGCGACGACGGGUAGCCGGCCUGAGAGGGUGACCGGCAACACUGGGACGGAGACACGGCCCAGACUCCUACGGGAGGCAGCAGUGGGGAAUAUUGCACAAUGGGCGAAAGCCUGAUGCAGCGACGCCGCGUGAGGGAUGACGGCCUUCGGGUUGUAAACCUCUUUCAACAGGGAAGAAGCGAAAGUGACGGUACCUGCAGAAGAAGCACCGGCUAACUACGUG
RNAcentral lists this ribosomal RNA (469 nucleotides) under uncultured bacterium. RNAcentral's name for it is "partial 16S ribosomal RNA". It matches the Rfam family "Bacterial small subunit ribosomal RNA", at positions 28 to 507 of the family's 1533-position model. The record is from RNAcentral.